GGGCCCAUAAUAGAAAAGGCCUCUACAAGACAUUUUGUGGCGGCACCAUCAUCGAAGAAAGAAAAAUUAUCUCCGCCGCACACUGUUUCCAUUCUACAUAUGCAAGCAAUUGCUUCAAUAGAGGGCAGGCCCCGAAAAAGAAAAUUAUGAAUUAUUUUGCCAUAGCAGGGACUCUUCAAAACACAGAUUACUAUCAAAGAGAUGAUAGCGUGGAACAUGGUCAGUGGAGAAAACUUUCAAGUGUCUUUUAUCCGGCAAGUUUUCGUUUUCCGCAAUACGACAUCGCUGUUGUGUUUUUAAAAGAACCGUUUCGUUUCAAUAACUACGUUAAUAAGAUACCUAUGGCUUCAUAUCGCACGGAAUAUACGGGUCAAUGUCUCGUUUCAGGAUAUGGUCGAAUGGGAGCAUUUAAGUUGUCACCUAUAUUGUAUAAAGCAUAUCUACAAAUAAUACCCACUCUUAAAUGUAACCUAAUACAUCGUCAUAAUAUGAGACAUUUUGUGUGUACUUCAGCUGCUUUUUCCGACGUAGAUAAGGUACGUUUAUAUUUUAUUUUUAGCCUUUUAAAUUUGGUUUAUGUUCUUAA
Long non-coding RNA from Hyposmocoma kahamanoa, 586 nucleotides. RefSeq lists it as uncharacterized. Lineage: Eukaryota; Metazoa; Arthropoda; Insecta; Lepidoptera; Cosmopterigidae. The transcript has 4 exons. The record is from RefSeq and is a predicted model, not a curated record.